GUAAAGAGACGGACCAAAAAGAGAGCCCGACUCCGCGUGAGAUCGUUUCAUCUGUUUUUCCUGUAAAUAGAGAAAAUAAAGUCUCGCUGUUCUGCUGAAACGGUCUUUUUAUUUGAAGAAUUCACUGCCUUUUUGUAAAAAUAUCAAGUGUUAAGCUAAAAUAAAUGUUUUUAAACGUAUUAAGGUGACCUGCGGUGGAUGAAAGUUGAUAUCACACUGCAGCUUGGAUGAACACCUUGCAGACAACCAUACGUCCUUGCUGUUGGUCGAACCAGGAACACGAUUGACACUUUCUUCAUUGCUGUGGACAAACGGCUCAUCCCCUGCCAAGCCACGAGCUCAUUGGGUGCAUUUGAUGAACUGUUUAAAUCCCACUACGUGUUCGACCUGUCAUACGAUGAGUAUUUAUUUUUUUGAAUAAAAAACAAAACAAAAAGACAUGUAUGUUUGAAUGAUGUUAUUACUUGAUCACUGUUGCUGUUCAACACAUUUGAACUUAUGAUAAGUUUCUGUAGCCUUGCAGGCGACUACAAGAAUGUUCAGAUUUGGUCAACAAACACAGAAUGUACUUGACAUGUAUCAUAAAACAAUGAACGUUAAUAAACAUAGUAGAGAAACGAAAUAACACGGUGUCAUAAAACAACACUAAGGGUGUCAAAUGUUAACACUAUUAAAGAGUUAAAAUAUUAACACUUUACAAAGUGUAAUUUUAACUCAAAAUCCAUGAGAACUAUAUAAACUCAGUAAAAGUGUUAAAAUGAACACUGUGCUAACACUCCCGAUUUUGCUGUGUACAUAGUCAAAGUGAAGUAAGAUUUCUAUUAUUGUUUUCACAUGGUUGGGAACAAAGUGCUUAUUCUGAGACACCGAGUAUCAGUCGUUUACCUGACUCUGAUUUAGAAGUACUGCUUGAUGUCAACAUUGUUCUUUUAUCAAGAUUUGAUGAACCUGUGAACUCAGUGAAUCGACGAAUUGUGACGUCCAAAAUUGCUCUCAAAUGUCUCUUGUUAUAUGGAGCAAAGAAACCGCAAAAUAUUCAUAUUUAAGAAAGUGAAAAAGCCAUAAUGUUGAUGUCAUUAGGCCUAAAUGUGAAUCUACAGUGGAAUGAACGCUGAUGUCACUCAAUAUAACAUUGUUGCAUUAACCUAACACUGUAAUGCAGAAAGCUUUGUUUGUUAAACCAGGUCUGGAAAGUUUUUGUAAGAUAAUUCUUUGUUUUAACAAGUUCAACCACAA
Molecule: long non-coding RNA, 1236 nt
Organism: Solea senegalensis (Senegalese sole)
Lineage: Eukaryota; Metazoa; Chordata; Actinopteri; Pleuronectiformes; Soleidae
Exons: 2
Source: RefSeq, a predicted model, not a curated record